This 329-nucleotide ribosomal RNA is filed under the name uncultured soil bacterium. RNAcentral describes it as "bacterial SSU rRNA". It matches the Rfam family "Bacterial small subunit ribosomal RNA", at positions 26 to 381 of the family's 1533-position model. The record is from RNAcentral.
AGAACGAACGCUGGCGGCAUGCCUAAUACAUGCAAGUCGAACGAACUCUUCGGAGUUAGUGGCGCACGGGUGCGUAACGCGUGGGAAUCUGCCCUUGGGUUCGGAAUAACAGUUGGAAACGACUGCUAAUACCGGAUGAUGACGAAAGUCCAAAGAUUUAUCGCCCAGGGAUGAGCCCGCGUAGGAUUAGCUAGUUGGUGAGGUAAAGGCUCACCAAGGCGACGAUCCUUAGCUGGUCUGAGAGGAUGAUCAGCCACACUGGGACUGAGACACGGCCCAGACUCCUACGGGAGCAGCAGUAGGGAAUAUUGGGAACAGUGGGACGAACG